RNAcentral lists this ribosomal RNA (253 nucleotides) under uncultured bacterium. Its description in RNAcentral is "partial 16S ribosomal RNA". It matches the Rfam family "Bacterial small subunit ribosomal RNA", at positions 524 to 776 of the family's 1533-position model. The record is from RNAcentral.
UACAGAGGUCUCGAGCGUUAGGCGGAAUCACUGGGCUUAAAGCGUGUGUAGGCGGAUCGGUAAGUACCUUGUGAAAUCCCACAGCUUAACUGUGGAACUGCUUGGUAUACUGCCAGUCUUGAGCCAGCUAGGGGCUACCGGAACAAAUGGUGGAGCGGUGAAAUGCGUAGAUAUCAUUUGGAACACCAAUGGUGAAAACAGGUAGCUGGGGCUGUGCUGACACUGAGACACGAAAGCCAGGGGAGCAAACGGG